AGCGAACGCUGGCGGCAGGCCUAACACAUGCAAGUCGAACGAACUCUUCGGAGUUAGUGGCGGACGGGUGAGUAACACGUGGGAACGUGCCUUUAGGCUCGGAAUAACUCAGGGAAACUUGUGCUAAUACCGAAUGUGCCCUUCGGGGGAAAGAUUUAUCGCCUUUAGAGCGGCCCGCGUCUGAUUAGCUAGUUGGUGAGGUAAAGGCUCACCAAGGAGACGAUCAGUAGCUGGUCUGAGAGGAUGAUCAGCCACAUUGGGACUGAGAAACGGCCCAAACUCCUACGGGAGGCAGCAGUGGGGAAUCUUGCGCAAUGGGCGAAAGCCUGACGCAGCCAUGCCGCGUGAAUGAUGAAGGUCUUAGGAUUGUAAAAUUCUUUCACCGGGGACGAUAAUGACGGUACCCGGAGAAGAAGCCCCGGCUAACUUCGUGCCAGCAGCCGCGGUAA
This 449-nucleotide ribosomal RNA is filed under the name uncultured bacterium. Its description in RNAcentral is "partial 16S ribosomal RNA". It matches the Rfam family "Bacterial small subunit ribosomal RNA", at positions 29 to 523 of the family's 1533-position model. The record is from RNAcentral.